Tachysurus fulvidraco (yellow catfish) is the source of this 433-nucleotide long non-coding RNA. RefSeq lists it as uncharacterized. Lineage: Eukaryota; Metazoa; Chordata; Actinopteri; Siluriformes; Bagridae. The record is from RefSeq and is a predicted model, not a curated record. The transcript has 3 exons.
ACAAAUGGAACAGACAGCGUUAUGGCUAAUCGAGCGCCAAGUGGAGCAGGAAGCAGUUCCCAGACUGGAGAUGCAUUAGGAAAGGCCUUGGCUUCGACUUAAUGUCAGCAUUUCAGAGAGAACAAAUUGCAAAAUACUGGAAACACACGCAUUCUGAAACAUUAAUACCCCGAUUAAAAAGCUCAUGAAUUAAUUAACUGGAACUCACGACCAGGGGCAUACACACACGCAUACAUACUGUACACAACAUCAGUAGCUCACUAAUUCCUGUAUUAAUCCUUCUCAGGUGGUGCUAGUGGAUGUUUAAUAUUAAUAUGCAUGCUAAGAUUGUGUGUGUGUGUGUGUGUGUGUGUGUGUGUGUGUGUGUGUGUGUGUGUGUGUGUGUGUGUGUGUUACCCCUAACCCUUUUUUAUCAUGGAUAUGUGUGCUACCA